GGACCCAGUCCGACUCGCGGUGAAUCAUGAUAACUCCACGAAUCGCAUGGCCCAGCGCCGGCGAUGUUUCAUUCAAAUUUCUGCGCUAUCAACUUUAGACGGUAAGGUAUUGGCUUACCGUGGUGGUAACGGGUUACGGAGGAUUAGGGUUCGAUUCCGGAGAGGGAGCCUGAGAAACGGCUACCACAUCCAAGGAAGGCAGCAGUCGCGCAAAUUACCCAAUCUUGACACAAGGAGGUAGUGACAGUAAAUAACAAUACCGGGGUUAUACAACUCUGGUAAUUGGAAUGAGUACAAUCUAAACCCCUUAACGAGGAUCAAUUGGAGGGCAAGUCUGGUGCCAGCAGCCGCGGUAAUUCCAGCUCCAAUAGCGUAUAUUUAAGUUGUUGCAGUUAAAAAGCUCGUAGUUGGAUUUCGGGCGGGCCCGGCCGGUCCGCC
RNAcentral lists this ribosomal RNA (438 nucleotides) under uncultured Coccomyxa. RNAcentral describes it as "SSU rRNA". It matches the Rfam family "Eukaryotic small subunit ribosomal RNA", at positions 213 to 664 of the family's 1831-position model. The record is from RNAcentral. Lineage: Eukaryota; Viridiplantae; Chlorophyta; Trebouxiophyceae.